Molecule: ribosomal RNA, 492 nt
Filed under: uncultured bacterium
Lineage: Bacteria
Description: partial 16S ribosomal RNA
Rfam family: Bacterial small subunit ribosomal RNA
Source: RNAcentral
AGUGAACGCUGGCGGUAGGCCUAACACAUGCAAGUCGAACGGCAGCACAGUAAGAGCUUGCUCUUACGGGUGGCGAGUGGCGGACGAGUGAGGAAUACAUCGGAAUCUACUUUUUCGUGGGGGAUAACGUAGGGAAACUUACGCUAAUACCGCAUACGACCUACGGGUGAAAGCAGGGGAUCUUCGGACCUUGCGCGAUUGAAUGAGCCGAUGUCGGAUUAGCUAGUUGGCGGGGUAAAGGCCCACCAAGGCGACGAUCCGUAGCUGGUCUGAGAGGAUGAUCAGCCACACUGGAACUGAGACACGGUCCAGACUCCUACGGGAGGCAGCAGUGGGGAAUAUUGGACAAUGGGCGCAAGCCUGAUCCAGCCAUACCGCGUGGGUGAAGAAGGCCUUCGGGUUGUAAAGCCCUUUUGUUGGGAAAGAAAAGCAGCAGGUUAAUACCCCGCUGUCCUGACGGUACCCAAAGAAUAAGCACCGGCUAACUUCGUG